UCAGGCUCGACCCAUAUAUUCAUCCUGUAGGACUCUUCAAAAACCCUCUUUUCCCAUCUCCCAGGAAUAUGCGGAAGAUUCCAUGAGAGAGCUGGGGGACAGUAGAGAAGCUAAAAAGGCCACGUGAAAUGCCACUCACCAACCAUUAACAUCCAAACAGGACUUUGUGAAUUUGACUCAACUGCAUGACUUGAAAAUAGGAGCAAGACUCUUUCUUAUCCAGUAAGCUAGCCUAGGCAUCUACUUGGCCAUUGCCUGAUUAAAAGAUGAUGAAAACUAAGGCCCAGAAGUAAAGUAACUUAUUCAAGGUCCAGCAGACCUUACCUGCCAAGAGGAGAAGACAGAUGCUGGGCUGAUCAGAUUCGGAUUUGCUGGGUUGCGCCCUCCAAUGUACUCAUCUGUGCAAACGUCACAGUUUUCUGCAUCUCGCCAAUCCCAG
This is a long non-coding RNA of Equus caballus (horse), 439 nucleotides long. RefSeq lists it as uncharacterized. The record is from RefSeq and is a predicted model, not a curated record. NCBI's taxonomy places the organism in Eukaryota, Metazoa, Chordata, Mammalia, Perissodactyla, Equidae.